GCAAUUAAAAGUGUAGGAUGAAUUUUUUUCCUUUCUAAGCAACAAACAGAAAUACACAGUUGAGUAGGUACUCUUCGUUUUUCACAAUCUCAUCCAAACCCUUUCCCAACUUUGAGGGUUUCAUUGUUCUGAUUCACAAGCACAAAAAUAAAAUAAAAUAAAAGUCUGAACUGUGUAUUUCAUUUGAUUUUAUGAUGACAGAAGAGGGAUUAGAGAGGGAAAAGAUAAGAGAAAAGGUGAAUCAACGUCUAUGAACUCCAUAAAAUCAGGGUGGGUAUUUCAGGACGAUCUGUAAAUCAACUUCGCGAAUGGUUGAAUUGUACUUAACUGUUAUUAAAGUAACUCAAGUAAUCAAUCAUUUCUAUUAUUGUGGAAGUUGUAUGAGGUGAAGGUACGGAUUUUUGUUUUCACUUUCUUAUGUUAUUUUGUAUAUGAAAUAUGGAUCUUUGUGAAAAUAGAACUUUGACUAGAUUAUAAUGGAGGUUGUAUUGGAUUUUUCCGCUUUUGAAACAAUUGAACUUUAGAAAUUUAAAUUUUCCUUAUUUUCUUCCUCGAAUUUCCAUAUUCUUCGCUUUUGAAUGGUUACAAGGAAAUGUAGUUACCAAUCUUUUAGCACAAUGAAACUUCUGCCAGAGAUAAGUUAGAGGUAUUAGCUUUAGUAACAUAAGUUCUUAUAUUUCACUAUGUGAGAAAAUCAUUGUAUUAGUUGAUUUCAGUUAUAAUAUCAUCAUCCAUGUGGAUGCAUGUUCUUAAUGUUUUCUUCGGUGAUUCCUCUCAAUUUUUCUAGAAGGAUAACAAGAAUGAUUUGAUAAUAGAGGAUGAAGAAAGCAUGAAAAAGGACGAUAAUAAAAGAUCAUAGACCAUACACUUGGAAUGAGGGGGCUUCCGAAGGGCACUGAAGAUACAAAAGAGAUGAUCAUAUGUUUUGUUGACACUGGAAUGAGGUAUCCAAUUUAUAAGACUGACAAUCGAUUUUGAAGUUAAAGGUUCCAUGUAGUAGUACUAGGACAUACUCGGAUACACGAAUGGUGGAAUGAACAUUACUACAAAAGUUAUACCAUGUGCAGCUCUAACAAAGUCCUAUGAACAACGUCGUUUUUGUAAAUCUAUAGGGAUAAAUUGGUUGUACUUCUUUCUGCAUCAUAAAGUCACGUGUAGUUGAUUAAUACAACUGUCUUUCUAAUCAGCCCCAGUCCAAUCUUCUCUCUAUUAUUUUUAGAUUGUUCUGUGAUUUCUGCACUUCUAUUUUUGGUUGUUCUUUAAUUCCAACUGGCUUACCUUUUUCAUCUAUAAUCUAAAAAAUCAUUUGAUGCGGUAACUUUUUCGCUCUGGUAAUAUUUUUCUACCGUAUUUCUUUGAUUACUGCACUUUAUUUGUAGUUAAUCUCCAUUUGAUGGGGUAUAUGUUAGUUUUUAAUUCUCCGGUGAAUACUUCAACUAUUUUCUUUUUGUAGUUGAAACUCCCAAUCGAAGUUGUUGUAACUAUAGAGAAACCACAAAAAGAGCUUUUCUUCUUGGCUUGUGAUCAACUGUGAUGUUUCACGGAGCUUUCCAGGUUAUUUCCUUACUAUUUUUACCCUUCUCAUUAUACUGAUGGAUUUACUAUUCAGGUGAAGUGCACGUCUUCAAAUUAUUUACUGUCAUUGAAUGUAUCAUAUACUUUCUUGGAUUUUCUACUUAAUGCAACAUGAAAGAAGUAUAAAUUGGUCUCGGCUAUGUGGUGGCUUAAAGGGUAGCUUACAUUUUGGACCUUUGGAUACCUAUAUGGGUAAUAUUAGCAACUUGAAUCAGUAGUCAAAACAGCAGAGUUGCACUUCCUCAGUUGAGGUGAGGAGUAUAUGAUACCCAAUAUUUUAGCGCCAAUGACAAUUGCAGUCAUCUGUUCUUAUGAUUUAGCAUGUUAAAAGCUAUUUCAGGGUAAUAGCAUGCAAAUCACAAUUUUAAGGUAACCACAUUAAACAAGUCGUGUGUGAUGAGUUCGACCGAGAAAGCAUGUAAGGAGUUUCGAACUUGAGACCUCUCAUUUGGGAGGUUCCCCGCUCCUCAUCAGGCUCAUGGUCGGAAGAUUUCAAGUUCAAAUCGUGUCCCCACCUAAUCAGUGGAGUUACAACCAGAUAAGGAAUGAGUACUCUGUUCUUAUUUCAUUGUACAUUAUAUUUUUUGUCAGCCAUCAAUUAAUAGUCCUAAUUAUAUAGAAGAUAUAAUAUAUUUCCUAAUUUUCCAAAUAUUAGACCAUCGCUUCUUGUAGGCCUCUUAAAUUAGGCCGAAGAGAAGGAAAUGAAUUUUUAGAAAACUCAAAAGGUGCAAAUUCAUAGUGCACUAUUGCAGACACUAUCAAUUAUCAGAGACUUUUUCACCUUAA
Solanum tuberosum (potato) is the source of this 2361-nucleotide long non-coding RNA. RefSeq lists it as uncharacterized. Lineage: Eukaryota; Viridiplantae; Streptophyta; Magnoliopsida; Solanales; Solanaceae. The record is from RefSeq and is a predicted model, not a curated record. The transcript is spliced from 4 exons.